Molecule: long non-coding RNA, 1344 nt
Filed under: Monodelphis domestica (gray short-tailed opossum)
Lineage: Eukaryota; Metazoa; Chordata; Mammalia; Didelphimorphia; Didelphidae
Description: lncRNA (ENSMODG00000048433.1)
Source: RNAcentral
CCAAUAUAAAGAGCUUCACAGGCUUUGUCUUGAAAAAAUCCUUUUGAAAAUCUCCACCAAGCUGUUGAGAGCUCCUUGGAACUUUCCGUCCCAAGGAAAUCAUUAACCUUCCCCAUUUCUGAGGCAGAGAUGCAAUCAGUUUAUUAAGUGCCUAAAUUAAAGGGAGACAAGGCAGGAGUUUGAGCUUUCCACUAUAAUUCACUUGAGGAGCUCUGUGUCAGGGAUAUUUGAACCAGACCUGGUUGGCUGGGCUCCGGAACCUCUCCUGGCUACCGGCUGUACGCCCACUUUCCCCUCCUUUGAAGGGCCAGAGGUCUUCUCUCCUCAGACGCCUAGUUAACCUUUUGAAGGCUCCAGCCCGGCGAAUCCUCAACUAGGCUGUCCUCCUCCGCCCAAACGCCCUCCUUUGGCAUCCUGGCCCAGUCCUCUGAAGCCCCGAUGGGCUGGAAGGUAGCCUGGUGAAGAUGCCUCCGCGAUAGCCAUCGUGGGGGCCGGACCCUGGUGCCGUCGGACCUCGCGGAGCAGUCAGGAACUUUCUAACCCAAUGCUCUGUGCACUCCUUAGUGCAUCUGUCCAAGGGACGCCUGGCAGCCCCGUUAAGGAGUUUCUAGCCACCCAGUGGGUGUUGACUGGGCAACACAGAACCAUGGGUUUGGCCUAUGCGGACUCUGUCCUUCCCAAAGUGCUUAGUAUGUCUCCCGGAACAUAGCCAUUCUCCGGAAUCCUCAGAAAAAAGAGAGAAGACAAACCUGAGGUUGAGCAGUUCCACUCUCCAGAUGACCAUGUUCUGCUCCUGGUUGGUGGGGCAGGGGCAGAGAUAGGGAGGAAGCCCCUUUCCCUCCAUACUUCACCCUGAAAACCCAAGGAAAAGCAAGAGCUCACAGACCUUCUAUUUCAGCCCUCUCACCUUACAGUUGAAGAAACUGGCCCAGGAAGUGACUUGCCCAAGGUCAUGCACUUAGGCUCCCAGAUCUAGAGCCCAAUGACCAAGUGGCCAGCUUUUCUAAUUUCCUCAUUUUACAGAUGAGGAAACUGAAUCUUCCCUAAAGGAAAAAGAAAGGGAUUCCCAGAUUUCCACAUUCCUCUUCUAGCCCACUGGGAAAAGGCUGAUGAUGCUCCAAGAAGAAUCCAGGCUGCUCCACUGUCAGUCAGUCGCCAGUCAUGUCUGAGGCAGCCUCAGGUCACCGGGCCUUUUUAGCCAGAGGCUCAGGCAAAUUUCUGCUUUCAUGGGCUAUAGCUCUCUUUCCAUGGCUGCCAAUCUCAUCCAGUUAAUUGAUCAGGAACGUGGGCACGUUCAAAACCCAAACCAAUAAACCAGCCUGCACUCCUAGGUUGGGGGUGGGG